RNAcentral lists this unclassified non-coding RNA (395 nucleotides) under soil metagenome. Its description in RNAcentral is "partial contains 5.8S ribosomal RNA, internal transcribed spacer 2, and large subunit ribosomal RNA". The stretch from base 1 to 122 matches the Rfam family "5.8S ribosomal RNA", at positions 35 to 154 of the family's 154-position model. The record is from RNAcentral.
GAUGAAGAACGUAGCGAAAUGCGAUACUUGGUGUGAAUUGCAGAAUCCCGUGAAUCAUCGAGUCUUUGAACGCAAGUUGCGCCCGAAGCCAUCAGGUUGAGGGCACGUCUGCCUGGGCGUCACAUAUCGUUGCCCAAUGCCUAUUGCAGUGCAAUAGGAAUUUCUAGGGCGAAUGAUGGCUUCCCGUGAGCGUUGUUGCCUCGCGGUUGGUUGAAAAUCGAGUCCUUGGUAGGGUGUGCCAUGGUAGAUGGUGGUCGAGUUAGAACGAUACCGAUCAUGUGCAUGCUCCCCAAAAUAUGGCCUCUAUGACCCACACGCGUCUUUUGACGCUCAUGACGAGACCUCAGGUCAGGCGGGGCUACCAGCUGAAUUUAAGCAUAUCAAUAAGCGGAGGA